Callorhinus ursinus (northern fur seal) is the source of this 129-nucleotide non-coding RNA. Lineage: Eukaryota; Metazoa; Chordata; Mammalia; Carnivora; Otariidae. The record is from RefSeq and is a predicted model, not a curated record.
GUUAACAUUACUGAGUUAAUAUUCCAUUGUAUAUAUGGACCACAUCUUCCUCAGUGAUGUUUUCUUUUGCACCUUUUCAUUUGUGUGACCUCUUCGCUUUGCAUCCAGCCAAGCUCCCUUGCCCCUCCA